Molecule: long non-coding RNA, 2972 nt
Filed under: Pectinophora gossypiella (pink bollworm)
Lineage: Eukaryota; Metazoa; Arthropoda; Insecta; Lepidoptera; Gelechiidae
Description: uncharacterized LOC126376770
Source: RNAcentral
CGUUAUCCUAAUUUCUCGGUAGUAAAUGGUAAACUAUGUCGUUUAUCUAAAAAUAAAUAUCAUCUUAUUUCUCAACACGAUUGGAAAAUCGUUGUUCCCCGUGAAAAAUAUGUAGAAGUUCUUCGAAAAUAUCAUGAUGAGCCCUCUUCCGGUCAUUUCGGUGUGGCUAAGACCCACAAGAAAAUUUCUUCCAUAUAUUUCUGGCCUUCCUUAUUUAAAGAUGUAAAAUCAUAUGUUGACAAUUGUGAGGUAUGUCGUUCAUACAAGCCGGUCAAUACUGCUAGGCCUGGUCUGAUGGGUAACCCCCGUCAAGUUACUAAACCUUGGGAGGCUAUAUCAUGCGAUAUAUUAGGUCCUUUCCCUUCAUCUUAUUCUCGCAAUCAAUACUUAUUCGUGGUCUCUGAUUAUUUCAGUAAGUAUGUUCUUUUAUUCCCUUUGCGUAGUGCAACUUCUAAGGCCAUUGUGAAAUGUCUUGAGAAACAUGUUUUUCUAGUCCAUGGCGUAUGUCGUAUCCUGUAUACCGACAACGGUCCUCAAUUCACUUCUAAAGAGUUUAGAGAUUCUUUAACUUCUUUCGGAGUACCUCAUAUAUUCUAUAAUCCUCGAUACCAUCCUCAGUGUAAUCAAACUGAACGAGUGAAUCGUGAUGUUGUUCGUGCUAUUGCUUCCCUCGUGCGUUCUGAUCAUCGUAAAUGGGAUCAGAACAUUCAGGAAAUCCAGUGUGCGCUCAAUACUUCGGUCCACGAAAGUACAAAAUAUACUGCCUUUUAUCUAAAUCAUGGUAGAGAGAUGGUCAUCGAUGGUGCUACUUAUACCCAAGAUUCUUCACCUUGUGAUGGGUCUACCAUAGUAGUAGAUACCCAAACUUUUGCUUCUCGGUUGCCGCGUAUGGCUGAAGUCUUCAAGAAAGUUGAAUGUCACCUUAAAAAGGCAUAUCAACACAAUGUAAAAUAUUAUAAUCUUAGGAAGCGUCCUUUGGAAUUGCGGGAAGGUCAAAUUAUUUAUAAAAGAUGUUUUCCUUUGUCCAGCGCUCCCAAGCACUUUUCUGCUAAACUAGCCCCUAAGUUUGAAAAAUGUGUAGUGCAUAAAAAGCUAGGUAAUGUAGUUUAUUCAUUGAAAACCUUAGAAGGUAAACCUUUGGGUUCCUUCCACAUUAAAGAUCUUGUUGUUCGAGGUCCGAGUGAGGAAGUUUAGGUCUUCUCUCACUUUCAAGGUUGUGUUCUAAGGACAUUACCUGUUAAGUGGUCAUCCCUAUAGGAAGGUGAUCCAUUUGAUGAGGUUUCCCUCGUUCGAGUAAUAUCCGUAGGCCUUGUUUAUGCAUUUGGUGUGUGGUUGAUUACCACCCAAAUGACGCCAAGGAUAUUCCCUCUUAAUAAAUAAAAAGAAAAUAGAUUAAGUUUUUUUAAGUACUUAAAUAGUUUUUACUUGGAAUAAGUUUAGUGUCAUGGCCAUGACUAAGUAUAACGUAUGCAUAAGGUUUAGUCUAUUAUUUUAAAUUUAAAAGUUAGGUAGGUUUUCCUUUGCCAUGACUAAGUAUAACGUAUGCAUAAGGUUUAGUCUAUUAUUUUAAAUUUAAAAGUUAGGUAGGUUUUCCUUUGCCAUGACUAAGUAAAACGUAGGCAUAAGGUUUAAUCUGUUAUUUUAAAUUUAAAAGUUAGGUAGGUUUUCCUUUAACUUGACCAUAUUCAAGAUGUUUGUAUGUUUAUGUAAGGUUAAGCAGUGUUAGAUUUAAUUCUUUGAGUUGUCGUCUGACACCACCAGGGUGUUUCUUUGAUUUGUUUCAAACAUAUGUUGCCUAUGUGCAAUGUGUUUUCUUGGGAGAAUCCCCAAAUUUUAACUCUGGUAAGCACAAGGCUAGUGCGGAAUGUACUAAUCCUUUUCCCCUUGGAUUAUAGGAGAUGUGUUUUCAAGUUUGAUACAUGGUGAUCAUGUUUAUUUCUUUCCAUUCUUUUACCUUUGUAAGGUAAAUGUACGUUCAUAACAAGUUAACUCAUCAGGAGUCGCUUGUUAUUUCUCUUUCGUUACUAGAGUGUAGCGAAAAAUUUUAUUUAAAAAUUUAAAAUUUUUAAAUAAAAUUUUUCUUCCUCAACUAAAACGGAACUGUAACACGUUUUUUUUUACACUUCCCACUUGGCUGUAUGGCAUACAGGUGUGUGCCUACGCGCCGGGAAAAAGUUAUGUUCGUUUGACAUUUCGUUUACGCGAUGACGAUAGCAAUUUAGUCCCGUCGCGAUUAUUUCUUUAAAGUGGUGUAUAAGCCACAUAUAUAAUGAUGAAAGGAUGGUGAAGUCUUCUGUAUAAAAACAAUGGUUUAGUCCAUCGACUAGGGGGAAUGCUGUUAUAAUAUCGUCCCACGUGAUGUGGUGAGUGUAUUUACCUAUAAUUCCGCGUCGUAACGGGGUUGACAGAGCUGUAACAUGUCAUUUUGUUACAGGGGUCAAAGUCCACCGGCAGAGUCCAGUGUUAAAGUUCUACUAGAAUGAUCAACUGUAAAGACUAACUUCAAAAAUCAACUUCAAGAUCUUCCUUCAGGGUCUAGCUCCCCAGCCAUGACUACCAUUUGUGUUCAUUAUCUACUUUUACCGUCAGGGUCAGUUCCUGCUGCGGUCAUUAAUGUACAUAAUUCCAGUUUGGUGUUAAAAUCUCUGGAUACCCUCUAAAUAUCUCUUCUUCAUGAUUAAUUUAACUUAUUAUGGAUAGUGCCAUGCUCUCAAGAUGAUUUUCUACUAAUACAUGGAGUAUUUAUCCUCAAUACAUACUCCAUGCCUUUUUGUCAGGACCUGCCGUCCUGACACUUUACUUAUCCUCAUAGGAAUAAAACCUAGUUGUUUAGGUAUAAUACUAAGUUAAGAUACCAUGUUAUAGUAAAAGAUUUGUUUCUUAAUUUAUAUUAGGAUGGUUUGUAACCGACUGACUUCAUAUCAUUUUAUUUUGAAAUUGUUGAAUCAAUUAUACUAUUGUUAAAAGUGAAA